This 464-nucleotide long non-coding RNA is filed under the name Vigna radiata. RNAcentral's name for it is "long non-coding RNA (VRAD_LNC010431)". The record is from RNAcentral. Lineage: Eukaryota; Viridiplantae; Streptophyta; Magnoliopsida; Fabales; Fabaceae.
GACUCUGGCGCAAACUAGUGGAUCUUGGGGACGGUGUUGAAGUUUCUAUUUGAUGCUGAUAGAGUGCUGAGGGGUGGAGGAUACCUUUGGGUGAAAACCCUAGUUUGUGACGGCAAUGAGAAAAAAAUGAGAUUUAGGAUUUGCUUGAGUAAAGAGAGAGAAUAAGAAUGAAAACAGGGACAAAAUUGUAAUUUACUUUUCAAAUGGGUAAUGUGUACUCGCGGAUACGGAUAAUAUGUUACGCGAAUCUGAUACGUUAAUAAGCUGGUAUUAAAAUACUCGUUAUCCGUUACACAGUACCUCUUACUCACGAGUACUAAAUACCCAAUACGAAUUUUAUCCGCAGAUACCCGCGAUACGAGUUUUUUUGUCAUCAAAGUGUUUAUUUUUUUUGAUAUUCCCACUAUUAAAAUUAGAUUAGAGACAGUAACUUUUUUUACUAAUAAUUUUUAGUUCAUAAAUUG